RNAcentral lists this ribosomal RNA (610 nucleotides) under uncultured bacterium. RNAcentral describes it as "bacterial SSU rRNA". It matches the Rfam family "Bacterial small subunit ribosomal RNA", at positions 60 to 652 of the family's 1533-position model. The record is from RNAcentral.
AGUCGAGCGAACAGACGAGGAGCUUGCUCCUCUGACGUUAGCGGCGGACGGGUGAGUAACACGUGGAUAACCUACCUAUAAGACUGGGAUAACUUCGGGAAACCGGAGCUAAUACCGGAUAAUAUAUUGAACCGCAUGGUUCAAUAGUGAAAGACGGUUUUGCUGUCACUUAUAGAUGGAUCCGCGCCGCAUUAGCUAGUUGGUAAGGUAACGGCUUACCAAGGCAACGAUGCGUAGCCGACCUGAGAGGGUGAUCGGCCACACUGGAACUGAGACACGGUCCAGACUCCUACGGGAGGCAGCAGUAGGGAAUCUUCCGCAAUGGGCGAAAGCCUGACGGAGCAACGCCGCGUGAGUGAUGAAGGUCUUCGGAUCGUAAAACUCUGUUAUUAGGGAAGAACAAAUGUGUAAGUAACUAUGCACGUCUUGACGGUACCUAAUCAGAAAGCCACGGCUAACUACGUGCCAGCAGCCGCGGUAAUACGUAGGUGGCAAGCGUUAUCCGGAAUUAUUGGGCGUAAAGCGCGCGUAGGCGGUUUUUUAAGUCUGAUGUGAAAGCCCACGGCUCAACCGUGGAGGGUCAUUGGAAACUGGAAAACUUGAGUGCAGA